GAUGAACGCUGGCGGCGUGCUUAACACAUGCAAGUCGAACGAUGAAGCCCAGCUUGCUGGGUGGAUUAGUGGCGAACGGGUGAGUAACACGUGAGUAACCUGCCCUUGACUCUGGGAUAAGCGCUGGAAACGGCGUCUAAUACCGGAUACGAGCUUCCACCGCAUGGUGAGUUGCUGGAAAGAAUUUCGGUCAAGGAUGGACUCGCGGCCUAUCAGGUAGUUGGUGAGGUAACGGCUCACCAAGCCGACGACGGGUAGCCGGCCUGAGAGGGUGACCGGCCACACUGGGACUGAGACACGGCCCAGACUCCUACGGGAGGCAGCAGUGGGGAAUAUUGCACAAUGGGCGCAAGCCUGAUGCAGCAACGCCGCGUGAGGGACGAAGGCCUCCGGGUCGUAAACCUCUUUUAGCAGGGAAGAAGCGAAAGUGACGGUACCUGCAGAAAAAGCACCGGCUAACUACGUG
This 466-nucleotide ribosomal RNA is filed under the name uncultured bacterium. RNAcentral describes it as "partial 16S ribosomal RNA". It matches the Rfam family "Bacterial small subunit ribosomal RNA", at positions 28 to 507 of the family's 1533-position model. The record is from RNAcentral.